AGCGAACGUAUGCGGCGGGCUUAACACAUGCAAGUCGAACGAGAAUCCCUUCGGGGAGGAAAGUGGCGCACGGGUGCGUAACACGUGGAUAACCAACCCAUUGGUUUGGGACAACACCGGGAAACUGGUGCUAAUACCAGAUGUGUCGCAGCUGUCUUCAGGCGGUUGCGAGAAAGGCCCGCAAGGGUCGCCAACGGACGGGUCCGCGUCCCAUCAGCUAGUUGGUGAGGUAAUGGCUCACCAAGGCAAAGACGGGUAGCUGGUCUGAGAGGAUGAUCAGCCACACUGGAACUGAGACACGGUCCAGACUCCUACGGGAGGCAGCAGUGGGGAAUAUUGCGCAAUGGGCGAAAGCCUGACGCAGCCACGCCGCGUGAGCGAUGAAGGUCUUCGGAUCGUAAAGCUCUGUGGAGAGGGACGAAAACCCUGGUUUCAAAUAGGCUCCAGGCUUGACGGUACCUCUUUAGCAAGCACCGGCUAACUCUGUGCCAGCAG
This 495-nucleotide ribosomal RNA is filed under the name uncultured bacterium. Its description in RNAcentral is "bacterial SSU rRNA". It matches the Rfam family "Bacterial small subunit ribosomal RNA", at positions 29 to 514 of the family's 1533-position model. The record is from RNAcentral.